GGACGUACCUCUGGAGAGACUUGCAUUGCAGGCGCCGAAGGAUUAAUUCUCUCAGGCAGAAGGACAGGGGAAGAGCA
RNAcentral lists this non-coding RNA (77 nucleotides) under Desulfobacter sp. RNAcentral describes it as "Desulfitibacter sp. Glycine sequence". It matches the Rfam family "Glycine riboswitch aptamer". From Rfam's summary of the family: This family represents the bacterial glycine riboswitch. Glycine riboswitches usually consist of two metabolite-binding aptamers domains with similar structures in tandem. Lineage: Bacteria; Pseudomonadati; Thermodesulfobacteriota; Desulfobacteria; Desulfobacterales; Desulfobacteraceae. The record is from RNAcentral.